Molecule: unclassified non-coding RNA, 53 nt
Filed under: Trypanosoma brucei
Lineage: Eukaryota; Euglenozoa; Kinetoplastea; Trypanosomatida; Trypanosomatidae
Description: gCOIII[128]
Source: RNAcentral
AUAUACAAUGUACUCUCAUAAUUGGUUUCAUAGAGAUAGAAGAUUAAUUAUUA